This is a long non-coding RNA of Hippocampus comes (tiger tail seahorse), 332 nucleotides long. RefSeq lists it as uncharacterized. Lineage: Eukaryota; Metazoa; Chordata; Actinopteri; Syngnathiformes; Syngnathidae. The record is from RefSeq and is a predicted model, not a curated record. The transcript has 3 exons.
GGCAACAAUUAGUGGGGGCAAAGUGUCAGUGCAUUCCCCAUUUGCUGAAAACCAAAAUAAGAAGGAUGCCUGCACACUGUGCUAAAUAGAGACGGCGCCGUAUAAUCACAACAGGAGAUAAUGGAAUAACAAAGGACCAGGAAGUAACCAUCCACAGGAUGAGGUUUGCUGCCUUUGUGUGCACAUCAUCAUGGGACUUCAGUUAUGGGCUCCAUGGUGUUGACUCAUGCUGUUUUUCAGCUGCAGUGUCUCUUCAGCUAAUAUGGGAAAAGAUUCAGUCGUGACCACGUCCAGAGAGUUCCAGGCAGAGAUACUCAGGCCAUUGUAAAGGC